This 71-nucleotide transfer RNA is filed under the name Phrynosoma platyrhinos (Desert horned lizard). RNAcentral's name for it is "tRNA-OTHER". Lineage: Eukaryota; Metazoa; Chordata; Lepidosauria; Squamata; Phrynosomatidae. The record is from RNAcentral.
GCCAGGGUGCCGUAGUGGUUUGAGUGUUGGGCUAUGACUUUGGAGACCAGGCUUCAAUUCCCUGCUUGGCU